Molecule: ribosomal RNA, 253 nt
Filed under: uncultured bacterium
Lineage: Bacteria
Description: partial 16S ribosomal RNA
Rfam family: Bacterial small subunit ribosomal RNA
Source: RNAcentral
UACGGAGGGUGCGAGCGUUGUCCGGAAUCAUUGGGCGUAAAGGGCGCGUAGGUGGCGGGAUAAGCGUGCGGUGAAAGCUUGGGGCUCAACCCCGAGCCGGCCGUGCGAACUGUUCUGCUUGAGCACUGUAGAGGCAGGCGGAAUUCCGGGUGUAGCGGUGGAAUGCGUAGAGAUCCGGAAGAACACCGGUGGCGAAGGCGGCCUGCUGGGUUCUGGCUGACACUGAGGCGCGACAGCGUGGGGAGCAAACAGG